This 433-nucleotide ribosomal RNA is filed under the name uncultured bacterium. RNAcentral describes it as "partial 16S ribosomal RNA". It matches the Rfam family "Bacterial small subunit ribosomal RNA", at positions 29 to 507 of the family's 1533-position model. The record is from RNAcentral.
AACGAACGCUGGCGGCAUGCCUAAUACAUGCAAGUCGAACGAGAUCUUCGGAUCUAGUGGCGCACGGGUGCGUAACGCGUGGGAAUCUGCCCUUGAGUUCGGAAUAACUUCUGGAAACGGAAGCUAAUACCGGAUGAUGACGUAAGUCCAAAGAUUUAUCGCCCAAGGAUGAGCCCGCGUAGGAUUAGGUAGUUGGUGAGGUAAAGGCUCACCAAGCCGACGAUCCUUAGCUGGUCUGAGAGGAUGAUCAGCCACACUGGGACUGAGACACGGCCCAGACUCCUACGGGAGGCAGCAGUAGGGAAUAUUGGACAAUGGGCGAAAGCCUGAUCCAGCAAUGCCGCGUGAGUGAUGAAGGCCUUAGGGUUGUAAAGCUCUUUUACCCGGGAUGAUAAUGACAGUACCGGGAGAAUAAGCUCCGGCUAACUCCGUG